This 483-nucleotide ribosomal RNA is filed under the name uncultured bacterium. Its description in RNAcentral is "partial 16S ribosomal RNA". It matches the Rfam family "Bacterial small subunit ribosomal RNA", at positions 46 to 523 of the family's 1533-position model. The record is from RNAcentral.
GCUUAACACAUGCAAGUCGAGCGAGAAUCGUUUUGCUGAAGGCUUCGGUCUGACGCAGAAUGAGGAAAGCUGCGAACGGGUGAGUAACGCGUGGGCAACCUGGCCUUAAGAAAAGGAUAGCCCCCGGAAACGGGGAGUAAUACUUUAUGAGAAUAGAAAAGGGCAUCCUAUUUCUAUUCAAAGCGCAAGCGCUUAAGGAUGGGCCCGCGUAUCAUUAGCUAGUUGGUGAGAUAACAGCCCACCAAGGCAACGAUGAUUAGCCGGUCUGAGAGGGCGAACGGCCACAUUGGAACUGAGAGACGGUCCAAACUCCUACGGGAGGCAGCAGUGGGGAAUAUUGCGCAAUGGAGAAGAACUCUGACGCAGCAAUACCGCGUGAGCGAAGAAGGUCUUCGGAUCGUAAAGCUCUGUUAUCAGGGAAGAAGAAAAUGACGGUACCUGAUGAGCAAGUCCCGGCUAACUACGUGCCAGCCGCCGCAGUAA